This 703-nucleotide ribosomal RNA is filed under the name uncultured Gammaproteobacteria bacterium. Its description in RNAcentral is "bacterial SSU rRNA". It matches the Rfam family "Bacterial small subunit ribosomal RNA", at positions 8 to 704 of the family's 1533-position model. The record is from RNAcentral. Lineage: Bacteria; Pseudomonadati; Pseudomonadota; Gammaproteobacteria.
AGAGUUUGAUCCUGGCUCAGAUUGAACGCUGGCGGCAGGCCUAACACAUGCAAGUCGAGCGGUAACAGGAGAGCUUGCUCUCGCUGACGAGCGGCGGACGGGUGAGUAACGCGUAGGAAUCUACCUGGUAGUGGGGGAUAGCCCGGGGAAACUCGGAUUAAUACCGCAUACGCCUUAAGGGGGAAAGCAGGGGAUCUUCGGACCUUGUGCUAUCAGAGGAGCCUGCGUUGGAUUAGCUAGUUGGUGGGGUAAAGGCCUACCAAGGCGACGAUCCAUAGCUGGUCUGAGAGGAUGAUCAGCCACACUGGGACUGAGACACGGCCCAGACUCCUACGGGAGGCAGCAGUGGGGAAUAUUGGACAAUGGGGGCAACCCUGAUCCAGCCAUGCCGCGUGUGUGAAGAAGGCCUUCGGGUUGUAAAGCACUUUAAGUGGGGAAAAAGGCUCGCUGGCUAAUAUCCAGCGGGAUUGAUACUACCCACAGAAUAAGCACCGGCUAACUCUGUGCCAGCAGCCGCGGUAAUACAGAGGGUGCAAGCGUUAAUCGGAAUUACUGGGCGUAAAGCGCGCGUAGGCGGCUGAUUAAGUCGGGUGUGAAAGCCCCGGGCUCAACCUGGGAACUGCACUCGAUACUGAUCGGCUAGAGUAUGAGAGAGGGAGGUAGAAUUCCACGUGUAGCGGUGAAAUGCGUAGAUAUGUGGAGG